GCGCCGGGGCAGGGGCCGGGCUCCGGUGGGCCUGGCGGGCCCGGUGGGCCGGGAGCGGGUCCGGGUGGGCGGUUCCAGCCGCCGCCCCCGUCGUUC
This 96-nucleotide transfer RNA is filed under the name Streptomyces sp. A012304. RNAcentral's name for it is "tRNA-Ala". Lineage: Bacteria; Bacillati; Actinomycetota; Actinomycetes; Kitasatosporales; Streptomycetaceae. The record is from RNAcentral.